RNAcentral lists this ribosomal RNA (254 nucleotides) under uncultured bacterium. RNAcentral's name for it is "partial 16S ribosomal RNA". It matches the Rfam family "Bacterial small subunit ribosomal RNA", at positions 524 to 776 of the family's 1533-position model. The record is from RNAcentral.
UACGAAGGGGGCUAGCGUUGCUCGGAAUCACUGGGCGUAAAGGGCGCGUAGGCGGUCGUGACAAGUCACUUGUGAAAUCUCCGGGCUUAACUCGGAACGGUCAAGUGAUACUGUCGGACUAGAGUACAGAAGGGGCAACUGGAAUUCUCGGUGUAGCGGUGAAAUGCGUAGAUAUCAAGCGGAACACCAGUGGCGAAGGCGAGUCCCUGGACAACUCCUGACACUGAUGCACGAAAGCCAGGGGAGCAAACAGG